Molecule: long non-coding RNA, 365 nt
Filed under: Brassica napus (rape)
Lineage: Eukaryota; Viridiplantae; Streptophyta; Magnoliopsida; Brassicales; Brassicaceae
Description: long non-coding RNA (BNAP_LNC012701)
Source: RNAcentral
GUUUGAUGACUUCUUCCUUGAACGUACGUGUGCUAAGAUCUCUGAAAAAUGCUCUGAUGACUGUAUAUUGCAAAAGUAAUCAAAUUAAUAACAUUUCAUAACAUAUAUAUGUAUAUAUAUUAUAAAAUUAUAAUUACCUGCAAGUGCUUCAUUGAUAUUUGCCGGAAGGAGCUCGGCAAAAGCAAAUGGAAGUAGUCGUUGCAUAAACACAUGACAAUCAUGACUCUUCAUUCCGGAGAAUUUUUGACCCCGUUCAACACGUCUUGACAGAUUAGAAACAUAACCAUCAGGAAACUUAACUUCUGAUGCAACCCAGUCAAACAAGAUUGUUUUGGCUUCUGAUGACAACCGGAAGAUGGGAACAU